GACGAACGCUGGCGGCGUGCUUAACACAUGCAAGUCGAACGGAAAGGCCCUGCUUUUGUGGGGUGCUCGAGUGGCGAACGGGUGAGUAACACGUGAGUAACCUGCACUUGACUUUGGGAUAACUUCAGGAAAAUGGGGCUAAUACAGGAUAGGAGCUACUGCUGCAUGGUGGGGGUUGGAAAGAGUCGGCGGUUGGGGAUGGACUCGCGGCUUAUCAGCUGGUUGGUGGGGUAGUGGCUUACCAAGGCUUUGACGGGUAGCCGGCCUGGGAGGGUGACCGGCCACAUUGGGACUGAGAUACGGCCCAGACGCCUACGGGAGGCAGCAGUGGGGAAUAUUGCACAAUGGGCGGAAGCCUGAUGCAGCAACGCCGCGUGCGGGAUGACGGCCUUCGGGUUGUAAACCGCUUUCUCCUGUGACGAAGCGUGAGUGACGGUAAUGGGUAAAGAAGCACCGGCUAACUACGUG
RNAcentral lists this ribosomal RNA (468 nucleotides) under uncultured bacterium. Its description in RNAcentral is "partial 16S ribosomal RNA". It matches the Rfam family "Bacterial small subunit ribosomal RNA", at positions 28 to 507 of the family's 1533-position model. The record is from RNAcentral.